UAAGUUAGAAAGGGCGCACGGUGGAUGCCUUGACACUAGGAGUCGAUGAAGGACGGGACUAACGCCGAUAUGCUUCGGGGAGCUGUAAGUAAGCUUUGAUCCGAAGAUUUCCGAAUGGGGAAACCCACCAUACGUAAUGGUAUGGUAUCCUUAUCUGAAUACAUAGGGUAAGGAAGACAGACCCAGGGAACUGAAACAUCUAAGUACCUGGAGGAAGAGAAAGCAAAUGCGAUUUCCUGAGUAGCGGCGAGCGAAACGGAACAUAGCCCAAACCAAGAGGCUUGCCUCUUGGGGUUGUAGGACAUUCUAUACGGAGUUACAAAGGAACGAGGUAGACGAAGCGACCUGGAAAGGUCCGUCGUAGAGGGUAACAACCCCGUAGUCGAAACUUCGUUCUCUCUUGAAUGUAUCCUGAGUACGGCGGAACACGUGAAAUUCCGUCGGAAUCUGGGAGGACCAUCUCCCAAGGCUAAAUACUCCCUAGUGAUCGAUAGUGAACCAGUACCGUGAGGGAAAGGUGAAAAGCACCCCGGAAGGGGAGUGAAAGAGAUCCUGAAACCGUGUGCCUACAAAUAGUCAGAGCCCGUUAACGGGUGAUGGCGUGCCUUUUGUAGAAUGAACCGGCGAGUUACGAUCCCGUGCGAGGUUAAGCUGAAGAGGCGGAGCCGCAGCGAAAGCGAGUCUGAAUAGGGCGUUUAGUACGUGGUCGUAGACCCGAAACCAGGUGAUCUACCCAUGUCCAGGGUGAAGUUCAGGUAACACUGAAUGGAGGCCCGAACCCACGCACGUUGAAAAGUGCGGGGAUGAGGUGUGGGUAGCGGAGAAAUUCCAAUCGAACCUGGAGAUAGCUGGUUCUCCCCGAAAUAGCUUUAGGGCUAGCCUUAAGUGUAAGAGUCUUGGAGGUAGAGCACUGAUUGGACUAGGGGUCCUCAUCGGAUUACCGAAUUCAGUCAAACUCCGAAUGCCAAUGACUUAUCCUUAGGAGUCAGACUGCGAGUGAUAAGAUCCGUAGUCAAAAGGGAAACAGCCCAGACCGCCAGCUAAGGUCCCAAAGUGUGUAUUAAGUGGAAAAGGAUGUGGAGUUGCUUAGACAACUAGGAUGUUGGCUUAGAAGCAGCCACCAUUUAAAGAGUGCGUAAUAGCUCACUAGUCGAGUGACUCUGCGCCGAAAAUGUACCGGGGCUAAAUACACCACCGAAGCUGCGGAUUGAUACCGAAUGGUAUCAGUGGUAGGGGAGCGUUCUAAGGACAGUGAAGUCAGACCGGAAGGACUGGUGGAGUGCUUAGAAGUGAGAAUGCCGGUAUGAGUAGCGAAAGACGGGUGAGAAUCCCGUCCACCGAAUGCCUAAGGUUUCCUGAGGAAGGCUCGUCCGCUCAGGGUUAGUCAGGACCUAAGCCGAGGCCGACAGGCGUAGGCGAUGGACAACAGGUUGAUAUUCCUGUACCACCUCUUUAUCGUUUGAGCAAUGGAGGGACGCAGAAGGAUAGAAGAAGCGUGCGAUUGGUUGUGCACGUCCAAGCAGUUAGGCUGAUAAGUAGGCAAAUCCGCUUAUCGUAAAGGCUGAGCUGUGAUGGGGAAGCUCCUUAUGGAGCGAAGUCUUUGAUUCCCCGCUGCCAAGAAAAGCUUCUAGCGAGAUAAAAGGUGCCUGUACCGCAAACCGACACAGGUAGGCGAGGAGAGAAUCCUAAGGUGUGCGAGAGAACUCUGGUUAAGGAACUCGGCAAAAUGACCCCGUAACUUCGGGAGAAGGGGUGCUUUCUUAACGGAAAGCCGCAGUGAAUAGGCCCAAGCGACUGUUUAGCAAAAACACAGCUCUCUGCGAAGCCGUAAGGCGAAGUAUAGGGGGUGACACCUGCCCGGUGCUGGAAGGUUAAGGAGAGGGGUUAGCGUAAGCGAAGCUCUGAACUGAAGCCCCAGUAAACGGCGGCCGUAACUAUAACGGUCCUAAGGUAGCGAAAUUCCUUGUCGGGUAAGUUCCGACCCGCACGAAAGGUGUAACGAUUUGGGCACUGUCUCAACCAGAGACUCGGUGAAAUUAUAGUACCUGUGAAGAUGCAGGUUACCCGCGACAGGACGGAAAGACCCCGUGGAGCUUUACUGUAGCCUGAUAUUGAAUUUUGGUACAGUUUGUACAGGAUAGGCGGGAGCCUUUGAAACCGGAGCGCUAGCUUCGGUGGAGGCGCUGGUGGGAUACCGCCCUGACUGUAUUGAAAUUCUAACCUACGGGUCUUAUCGACCCGGGAGACAGUGUCAGGUGGGCAGUUUGACUGGGGCGGUCGCCUCCUAAAGUGUAACGGAGGCGCCCAAAGGUUCCCUCAGAAUGGUUGGAAAUCAUUCGUAGAGUGCAAAGGCAUAAGGGAGCUUGACUGCGAGACCUACAAGUCGAGCAGGGACGAAAGUCGGGCUUAGUGAUCCGGUGGUUCCGCAUGGAAGGGCCAUCGCUCAACGGAUAAAAGCUACCCCGGGGAUAACAGGCUUAUCUCCCCCAAGAGUCCACAUCGACGGGGAGGUUUGGCACCUCGAUGUCGGCUCAUCGCAUCCUGGGGCUGUAGUCGGUCCCAAGGGUUGGGCUGUUCGCCCAUUAAAGCGGUACGCGAGCUGGGUUCAGAACGUCGUGAGACAGUUCGGUCCCUAUCCGUCGUGGGCGUAGGAAAUUUGAGAGGAGCUGUCCUUAGUACGAGAGGACCGGGAUGGACGCACCGCUGGUGUACCAGUUGUUCUGCCAAGGGCAUAGCUGGGUAGCUAUGUGCGGAAGGGAUAAGUGCUGAAAGCAUCUAAGCAUGAAGCCCCCCUCAAGAUGAGAUUUCCCAUAGCGUAAGCUAGUAAGAUCCCUGAAAGAUGAUCAGGUUGAUAGGUUCGAGGUGGAAGCAUGGUGACAUGUGGAGCUGACGAAUACUAAUAGAUCGAGGACUUAACCA
Molecule: ribosomal RNA, 2919 nt
Filed under: Bacillus cereus
Lineage: Bacteria; Bacillati; Bacillota; Bacilli; Caryophanales; Bacillaceae
Description: bacterial LSU rRNA
Rfam family: Bacterial large subunit ribosomal RNA
Source: RNAcentral